ACACGUGAUUCAGAGUUUGAUCCUGGCUCAGGACGAACGCUGGCGGCGUGCCUAAUACAUGCAAGUCGAGCGGAGACUUCAUCGGUCUUGUACCUUUGAAUUCUUAGCGGCGGACGGGUGAGUAACACGUGGGUAACCUACCUUAUAGUUUUGGGAUAACUUCGGGAAACCGAGGCUAAUACCGAAUACGUAAUUUCUUCGCAUGAAGUGAAUUUGGAAAGACGGUUUCGGCUGUCGCUAUAAGAUGGACCCGCGGCGCAUUAGCUAGUUGGUGAGGUAACGGCUCACCAAGGCAACGAUGCGUAGCCGACCUGAGAGGGUGAUCGGCCACACUGGGACUGAGACACGGCCCAG
This 354-nucleotide ribosomal RNA is filed under the name uncultured bacterium. Its description in RNAcentral is "bacterial SSU rRNA". It matches the Rfam family "Bacterial small subunit ribosomal RNA", at positions 1 to 334 of the family's 1533-position model. The record is from RNAcentral.